GCAAGUCGAGCGCCCUUUUCGGAGGGAGCGGCGGACGGGUUAGUAACGCGUGGGAACAUACCCUUUUCUACGGAAUAGCCUCGGGAAACUGAGAGUAAUACCGUAUACGGCCUUCGGGCGAAAGAUUUAUCGGUGAAGGAUUGGCCCGCGUUAGAUUAGAUAGUUGGUGGGGUAAUGGCCUACCAAGUCUACGAUCUAUAGCUGGUUUUAGAGGAUGAUC
RNAcentral lists this ribosomal RNA (220 nucleotides) under uncultured bacterium. Its description in RNAcentral is "partial 16S ribosomal RNA". It matches the Rfam family "Bacterial small subunit ribosomal RNA", at positions 57 to 305 of the family's 1533-position model. The record is from RNAcentral.